Molecule: non-coding RNA, 799 nt
Filed under: Osmylidae sp. EMHAU-20151229-16
Lineage: Eukaryota; Metazoa; Arthropoda; Insecta; Neuroptera; Osmylidae
Source: RNAcentral
UAAAGUUUUAUUUUGGCUAAUAAUUUAUUAAAUAUUUAUUUUACAUGUAAAAUUUUAUGUGAAUAAAUUGAUUUUUUAAAAAAAUUAAUUAAACUUUUAUUCGCAGUAUUUGAUAUUAUAAAUUAAGGAAAUUUAGAUUUAGUAAAAUAUUUUAAUAUAGGAUAAUUUUGUGCCAGCAUCUGCGGUUAUACAAAAUAUAUAAAUAAAUUAUAUUAGUAUAUAAUAGUUAAAAUGAUUAAUUAAAUUAAUGAAUAAAUUUAUUUUUUUAGGUUAAAUUUAUAAAUAAUUAUAAAAUUAAUUUAAUAAAAAAAAAUUUGAAGCUAUAAAAUUUAAAUUAUAAACUAGGAUUAGAUACCCUAUUAUUUUAAAUAUAAAAUUGAGUAAACUAAGGUAGUAAUAGAUAUAUUCUUGAAACUUAAAAAAUUUGGCGGUGUUUUAGUCUUUUUAGAGGAACCUGUUCUAUAAUUGAUAAUCCACGAUAAAUUUUACUAAAUUUUGUUUAAUUUGUAUACCGUCGUUAAAAGAAUAUCUUAAAAGAGAAAAAUUUUCUAAAAUUUAUAAUAAAAUUUAUUUCAGAUCAAGGUGCAGUUUAUAUUUUAGAAGAAAUGGGUUACAAUAAAUAUAUUUAUAUGGCUAUUUUAUUGAAAUAUAAAAUUAAAGGUGGAUUUAAUAGUAAAAUUAAUAAAAUUAUUAAUUUGAUUUUAGCUCUAAAACAUGUACAUAUCGCCCGUCGCUCUCUUUUUUAAAAGGAGAUAAGUCGUAACAUAGUAGAUGUACUGGAAAGUGUAUCUAGAAUGAU